AAAACAGAGCACGUCCUCUGCAAAUGGAAAAACAGGAGGGAGACCAUUUGUUUUGUCCCAUUUUCUUCAUUUUCUCUUCUUUUCUUCAAGCUAAAUCAAAAGGGAGUGUGCUUAGGAGGAUUAUAUCCAAGAAAACAAAUUAAAUGACAACUUAGAGAGUUAUAGAGCUUGAGAGAAACAAAGAGAAGAAGCUAGAAAUUGGAAGAGGAGGACAUGAUUUUUGUAAAUUUUUGCAAGAAUUCAUUGAAAUAAGUUAAAGUAGCAAAGGGCUGGAACUUCGGCAGCCAUAUUUUGACUUUGCACCGUUGGAUUAGAGUUAGUUUUGGAUAUGUUAUUAUACUCAAUGUCACCUACAUUCUGACCGGAGGGAUUGCAAAUAUCAGAUUUCGUUUGAGGGCUGUCACCGGAGGAACAUUUCUGGAAAAUCACCCUUCAAGACAGCUUUGUUCGUCGGCCGUUAUAUCAUCGUUUCACCGUUGGAUUGGUCUGGAUUUUGGAUAUGUUAUUCAUCCAGAUGUUAUAUAAAUUCUGAACGGUUUGGAUUGGAAAAGAACACUCCUACCAGAAAUUAUACUUCCCGAACAGCAGGUCUCCAAAUUUCAGGAGAAGCAUUCACUCGACUUCUCAGGAGCUCGUAUAGUAGGAGCUUAAGGAGGGACUGCAAGAGGGGCACAACAACAACAAGGAAGAGCGAGUUGAGCUUCUGCAGCUGGAUGGAGGCAACUAUCGUAUCGCUUGGGACGUGAGAAUAGAAGUUCAUUAACCAUGGUCCUUCAGAUUCACGCCAGGAGUAGCGUUUUAGGUCCUCUAGUCUCCUUUUGUAUGAUUGAAUAAGAAGAUGAACAUUAAUGUAUUUUGUCUUUAAGGAACUAAAUGACUUAAUAUGUAAUAGUACUCCUUUUACAUUAAGUGUCGGACAUAAAAAUGUAUUAUUCUGUAUUUGUAAUCUUAGUUUGUUUACUUGCAAUUGUUAUGAAUUAUGUGUGUUAAUGGGAAAGAAAUGAGCAUGCGAAAUGUGAGGCAUGUACCAUGAA
This is a long non-coding RNA of Populus nigra (black poplar), 1034 nucleotides long. RefSeq lists it as uncharacterized. The record is from RefSeq and is a predicted model, not a curated record. NCBI's taxonomy places the organism in Eukaryota, Viridiplantae, Streptophyta, Magnoliopsida, Malpighiales, Salicaceae. The transcript has 5 exons.